RNAcentral lists this transfer RNA (69 nucleotides) under Rattus norvegicus (Norway rat). It matches the Rfam family "tRNA". From Rfam's summary of the family: Transfer RNA (tRNA) molecules are approximately 80 nucleotides in length. The record is from Rfam by way of RNAcentral. Lineage: Eukaryota; Metazoa; Chordata; Mammalia; Rodentia; Muridae.
GGGGAUUUAGCUCAGUGGUAGAGUGCUUGCCUAGCAAGCUCAAGACCCUGGGUUCGAUCCCCAGCUCCA